CACCUGGGCAGACUUUGUGGGAGAAAACAGUAAAAUAGGAGCUCCUUAAAAGCUUUUAAGAGUGGCGAUAAGUUGGAAAUGUCCCAGCAGCGUAUUCGGUCUGUUCCCCACAAAAAAAUCGACCUGGAAAGUAGAGGAAUAUCGAUCUCACUGACCCAACCAACACCUGAUGCUAAAAGCCGGGAUGAAGGCGUUAGCAUGUCGCUAUCGCCAGAGAGCUAAGCUAGCUUAAUUAAUGAAGUUGGGACACGAGUUGGGAACUUUGGCCCAAAGAAAGAAAUUUCUCGGAUGAAGAAAAGGGCUUAUCCUGGUUGGUGGCCACUAUGGAUGCAUUUGUUGGUGCUUGAUGGGGAGUUAACGUGAUAACCUUAUUAUAAUUACGAACUCACCAAGAGUCACUGACGAGAAGAAUGGCGCACUUUUACAAGCAAGACGGCGCACAGUUGAAACAAGAAGAAACAUGAUAACAUGACCAGAGUGCAAGGAUUCACCUGGCCUGAGGGAGCCACGUUUCAACUUAAAGAUGGUUCAGGAUGGAGGUCACUGUGAGAGCCACAAGGACCGAGGAGGAAACCAUGUUAGAAGAGGACAAGGACCAAGUGGAAAGAACUUACUCCACCGGGAGCGCCACAAGCUAUAGCCAGCAGAGCCUAUAGCAGGGAGAAAGGAGACGCAGAGCAUGCCAAGCAGAUCCUGCACACUUAAAGAAAGAAAUCAGCUCGAGAUCACCAGCAUAACCCACAGACCCCCCAUCCUCUCCAAAAAAGACAACAACAACAACAAAUAAAGACAAAACACACGUGUUCACAGAAGUAAUGUAUGCACCGCGUUCCCGCAUAUGAAUCUUUAUGCGAAAUGCACUUCAGUUUUUAUUACGCUUAACAAACGUGUUAGUCAGCUGAUCGCACAGUCUGCAUUCUGUUGUAUAGAUUCACCUCAUAAGAUCAGUGCUGCUGGUUUAUCUUUUAUGUGAAUCAUCAGUUAGUGGGUAGUUUUUUUUUUGUUGUUGUUUUGCUUGGAACCUGUAGCCUUUAGCCUCGUUUUUUUUUUUUUUUUUUUUGCAUCUUUGCAAUGCUGAGUUAGCAUGGUAUCAUGUAUGUAGCUCAGGGCUACCGCUGACCUUUCAGGGGCCCUAGGCAUAAAUUUCAUUACAGUAAUUUUGUUACUCCGAACUCAUAGGAAAGUCAGUUCCUUUUAUUAUCACCACUGAUCAGUUUCUCUCUCUCUUAAUUAUAUAGGCUACAUGAAUAAACAUGUGUGACCAAAACUAAAUCAAUGCUCAUUACAUCACACGUGGAUUAAAAAAUAUGUGUGAUUUUAAGCUACAGAUGUGAAAUUGACCUGACUUGACACUGUAGCAGCAGAGCUGUGGAUAUUUACAUUCUGACACAAAGCAGGGUUAGCUGAACACUUACACAAAUGUACUAACAUAAGAGCAGGCUGACUUUUUCCUGCGUUUUAACGCGAUGUUGCCAGCACUGAGUAACAGUUCACCUUUUGGCUUUGCUGGACAUUGUCCUAUGAGAAUAUGACAAAAAUGAACUUGUCAGGUUAAAUGUUAUUUUUAUUUAGAUUUUGUCACUUUGAUUUUAUUUAUUUAUCUCUGGUGGUGCAGAAAAUCUGCAUUAAUGCCAAUAAAAACAAUUUGCGAAAAUUUCUGCCACAUGUACAUGGUCUUGUUUUAGAUAAACACUCACUAAAAUAAUGACAAAAUAAAACUCCAAAAGAGAAACUUGGAAUCUGACAAACUCAAGGCAGAUACUAUCAAACAGCAUUGAACACUGACCAGCAAAGGCUGCCCUCAGGCUAUAAUUUGCAGAAGUUUUACCUGCUGCUGGCUGAGACUGAAGACAAAGCUUAGUAAGUGUGUGUGCC
Molecule: long non-coding RNA, 1875 nt
Organism: Scatophagus argus
Lineage: Eukaryota; Metazoa; Chordata; Actinopteri; Scatophagidae
Exons: 3
Source: RefSeq, a predicted model, not a curated record